UACGGAGGGUGCAAGCGUUAUCCGGAUUCACUGGGUUUAAAGGGUGCUUAGGCGGGUGUGUAAGUCCGUGGUGAAAUCUCCGAGCUUAACUCGGAAACUGCCAUGGGUACUGCAUGUCUUGAAUGUUGUGGAGGUGAGCGGAAUAUGUCAUGUAGCGGUGAAAUGCUUAGAUAUGACAUAGAACACCAAUUGCGAAGGCAGCUCACUACACAAAUAUUGACGCUGAGGCACGAAAGCGUGGGGAUCAAACAGG
RNAcentral lists this ribosomal RNA (253 nucleotides) under uncultured bacterium. RNAcentral's name for it is "partial 16S ribosomal RNA". It matches the Rfam family "Bacterial small subunit ribosomal RNA", at positions 524 to 776 of the family's 1533-position model. The record is from RNAcentral.